RNAcentral lists this long non-coding RNA (635 nucleotides) under Homo sapiens (human). RNAcentral's name for it is "HSALNT0300572". Lineage: Eukaryota; Metazoa; Chordata; Mammalia; Primates; Hominidae. The record is from RNAcentral.
GGGGCCGUCCUUCCUACCCCCAGCCCUGUGAGUCAUCUUCAUUGAGUUCCAAGAAUCCCCGCGCAGCUGUGCAGCUGUACAUUGCAUGCUGACACUGAAUGAGCAGUGACUGGACGCUGCCUUCCAUGUGGGACACGAGCCUUCAAUGCCUGAUAAAGCCUGAAAGCCACAAUCUGCCCUGGAAACCCAGCUCCACCCUGCUUCCACUACAUCAGGAGGUGAAGGAGGAAAUUGAAAGUGUGAAACACCAGUGGGAGGAAAAGGUUCCUGUAACAAAUGUGGUUAUCAAUGGGAAAGAAGCUUUCUAGAGCUUAUAUACGGGGCCGAGUCAUGCACACUUCAUCAUACUCACCAGGGGACGACCCAGACCAUCAUUCUUCUCUGGUCUGCCACCUUCAUCCUCCACUUGCAGCCUCCUUUGCAGUGACCAUACAGGUGCAGAGCAUGAGCAGGAUGCACAGGGGUUUAUGUGGUCAGGCCUGCCUGGAGUUGGCACAUAGCAUUUCUGCUUCCAUUCUUAGGUCUGAAAUCCAGGUCACAGAGCCCUAACAUAACUACAAAGGAUCCUGAAAAGUGUUGUAUUCCAGUGUGCCUCGGAAAAGAAAAUAGGAUUAAUAAACUUUGAUUAGACUAAA